Long non-coding RNA from Peromyscus eremicus (cactus mouse), 448 nucleotides. RefSeq lists it as uncharacterized. The transcript has 3 exons. The record is from RefSeq and is a predicted model, not a curated record. NCBI's taxonomy places the organism in Eukaryota, Metazoa, Chordata, Mammalia, Rodentia, Cricetidae.
CAGCAGGAACAGGAGACCUAUCACUAGCUACAUUUGGAUAAAGGGCCUCUUGGUCCAUAGGCAUAAAGCUGGAACAGCAGAAAUCAUGGCCAACUUAAACUUUAAAAGAACCUCGGGUUGCAUUAAUGAGCCAAAAGAGCAAGGGAAAAGGAGACAGUCUGCUUCUGUAGUCUGUAUUGCGUCCCUUACUAUGUUAUGAAGAAAUGUGAGGCAUAGCUUCAGUUCCACCAGAUGAAGAAGACUUUGGCCCCAGGACCAAAGUCAAGUCAAGAUCACAUGACUUGCUGUGCAGCUCAAGGGCCAGUGAACAAAGGACCACUAUGGAGAAGUGUAGAAGACACAAUUGACUUUCUGGCCACAGGUGCUUUUCAAGAUGUUCACAUCAGAAACAAAGGCGAAAAUCCAAAACUAUGUUCUCAAGAGCAAACAAAAAAUGGUAUAAUCAAUA